RNAcentral lists this ribosomal RNA (564 nucleotides) under Clostridioides difficile. RNAcentral describes it as "bacterial LSU rRNA". It matches the Rfam family "Bacterial large subunit ribosomal RNA", at positions 1572 to 2148 of the family's 2925-position model. The record is from RNAcentral. Lineage: Bacteria; Bacillati; Bacillota; Clostridia; Peptostreptococcales; Peptostreptococcaceae.
AGCGAAAUUUAGUAGCGAAGUAGCUGAUUUCACACUGUCAAGAAAAGUCUCUAUCGAGGUUAAAGGUACCCGUACCGCAAAACUGCACAGGUGGGUGAGGAGAGUAUCCUAAGGCCAGCGAGAGAACUGUUGGUAAGGAACUCGGCAAAAUGACCCCGUAACUUAGGGAGAAGGGGUGCCACCAUCAGGUGGCAGCAGAGAAUAGGCCCAAGCGACUGUUUACCAAAAACAUAUGUUUCUGCUAAGUCGCAAGACGAUGUAUAGGAGCUGACGCCUGCCCGGUGCUGGAAGGUUAAGGGGCUCUGUUAGUGCAAUCGAAGCAGUGAACUUAAGCCCCAGUAAACGGCGGCCGUAACUAUAACGGUCCUAAGGUAGCGAAAUUCCUUGUCGGGUAAGUUCCGACCCGCACGAAAGGCGUAACGAUUUGGGCACUGUCUCAACAACAGACUCGGUGAAAUUGUAAUUCCGGUGAAGAUGCCGGAUACCUGCGACAGGACGGAAAGACCCCAUGGAGCUUUACUGUAGCUUGACAUUGGGUCUUGGUACUACAUGUACAGGAUAGGU